UGGCUCAGUUGGUAGAGCAUGGUGUUUGCAACGCCAGGGUUGUGGGUUCGCUUCCCGC
RNAcentral lists this transfer RNA (58 nucleotides) under Salmo salar (Atlantic salmon). It matches the Rfam family "tRNA", at positions 8 to 63 of the family's 71-position model. From Rfam's summary of the family: Transfer RNA (tRNA) molecules are approximately 80 nucleotides in length. The record is from Rfam by way of RNAcentral. Lineage: Eukaryota; Metazoa; Chordata; Actinopteri; Salmoniformes; Salmonidae.